UACAGGGGGGGCAAGCGUUGUUCGGAAUUACUGGGCGUAAAGGGCGCGUAGGCGGCUUACCAAGUCAGGCGUGAAAUUCCCGGGCUCAACCUGGGGGCUGCGCUUGAUACUGGUGAGCUUGAAUGCGGGAGAGGAUAGUGGAAUUCCCAGUGUAGAGGUGAAAUUCGUAGAUAUUGGGAAGAACACCGGUGGCGAAGGCGGCUAUCUGGCCCGUAAUUGACGCUGAGGCGCGAAAGCGUGGGGAGCAAACAGG
RNAcentral lists this ribosomal RNA (253 nucleotides) under uncultured bacterium. RNAcentral's name for it is "partial 16S ribosomal RNA". It matches the Rfam family "Bacterial small subunit ribosomal RNA", at positions 524 to 776 of the family's 1533-position model. The record is from RNAcentral.